Molecule: ribosomal RNA, 817 nt
Filed under: uncultured bacterium
Lineage: Bacteria
Description: bacterial SSU rRNA
Rfam family: Bacterial small subunit ribosomal RNA
Source: RNAcentral
AGAGUCUUAUCCUGGCUCAGGAUGAACGCUAGCGACAGGCCUAACACAUGCAAGUCGAGGGGCAUCGGGGCUAGGAGCAAUCCUUGCCGCCGGCGACCGGCGCACGGGUGAGUAACGCGUAUGCGACCUGCCCGUUGCAGGGGGAUAAUCGGGAGAAAUCCCGUCUAAUACCGCGUAAUGCCGCGGGGCUGCAUGGCCCUGCGGCCAAAGGGAGCGAUUCCGGCAACGGAUGGGCAUGCGUGACAUUAGCUAGUUGGCGGGGCAACGGCCCACCAAGGCGACGAUGUCUAGGGGUUCUGAGAGGAAGGUCCCCCACACUGGUACUGAGACACGGACCAGACUCCUACGGGAGGCAGCAGUGAGGAAUAUUGGUCAAUGGGCGCGAGCCUGAACCAGCCAAGUCGCGUGAGGGAUGACGGCCCUACGGGUUGUAAACCUCUUUUGUCGGGGAGCAAAUUCCGUUACGUGUAACGGAGUCGAGAGUACCCGAAGAAAAAGCAUCGGCUAACUCCGUGCCAGCAGCCGCGGUAAUACGGAGGAUGCGAGCGUUAUCCGGAUUUAUUGGGUUUAAAGGGUGCGCAGGCGGACUGUCAAGUCAGCGGUAAAAUACGGGGGCUCAACCUCCGCCCGCCGUUGAAACUGACGGUCUUGAGUGGGCGAGAAGUAUGCGGAAUGCGUGGUGUAGCGGUGAAAUGCAUAGAUAUCACGCAGAACUCCGAUUGCGAAGGCAGCAUACCGGCGCCCAACUGACGCUGAAGCACGAAAGCGUGGGUAUCGAACAGGAUUAGAUACCCUGGUAGUCCACGCAGUAAACGAU